Molecule: ribosomal RNA, 859 nt
Filed under: uncultured bacterium
Lineage: Bacteria
Description: bacterial SSU rRNA
Rfam family: Bacterial small subunit ribosomal RNA
Source: RNAcentral
AGUGCGGGAGAGGAAAAGUGGAAUUCCUGGGUGUAGCGGUGAAAUGCGUAGAUAUCAGGAGGAACACCGGUGGUGUAGACGGCUUUCUGGACCGUAACUGACGCUGAGACACGAAAGCGUGGGUAGCAAACAGGAUUAGAUACCCUGGUAGUCCACGCCCUAAACGAUGCAUAUUUGGUGUGGGCAGUUCAUUCUGUCCGUGCCGGAGCUAACGCGUUAAAUAUGCCGCCUGGGGAGUACAGUCGCAAGGCUGAAACUCAAAGGAAUUGACGGGGGCCCGCACAAGCGGUGGAGCAUGUGGUUCAAUUCGACGCAACGCGAAGAACCUUACCUGGGCUCGAACGGCUUCUCAACGCCGGUGGAAACAUCGGUACCCCGCAAGGGGGUGGAGUCGAGGUGCUGCAUGGCUGUCGUCAGCUCGUGUCGUGAGAUGUUGGGUUAAGUCCCGCAACGAGCGCAACCCUUGUCCUGUGUUGCCAUACCGAAAGGUGGAACUCGCAGGAGACCGCCAGCGAUAAGCUGGAGGAAGGUGGGGAUGACGUCAAGUCCUCAUGGCCUUUAUGUCCAGGGCUACACACGUGCUACAAUGGACGGUACAAAGGGUCGCUAACCCGCGAGGGGGAGCCAAUCCCAAAAAACCGUUCUCAGUUCGGAUUGCAGGCUGCAACCCGCCUGCAUGAAGCUGGAAUCGCUAGUAAUGGCAGAUCAGCACGCUGCCGUGAAUACGUUCCCGGGCCUUGUACACACCGCCCGUCACGUCACGAAAGUGGAUUGUACUAGAAGUCUUCAGGCUGACCCGCAAGGGGGGCAGAGGCCCAAGGUAUGAUCCAUGAUUGGGGUGAAGUCGUAACAAGGUACC